This 5844-nucleotide long non-coding RNA is filed under the name Sus scrofa (pig). RNAcentral describes it as "lncRNA (ENSSSCG00000063411.1)". Lineage: Eukaryota; Metazoa; Chordata; Mammalia; Artiodactyla; Suidae. The record is from RNAcentral.
CAAACCCCAGUAUAGGCUUGAGAAUAUAAAGGUAUUAGACACGACUCUGUCAAGUGCUAGCCAAGUGAUCUCAAGAAAUAUCUGAAGUUUGGGUUUCUUAACUGUAAAAUCAGAUUAAAAUGUCUUCCCAUAUAUAGUUAAGAAUCCUAUUGCAGCAUGCUGGGUAGCUGUGGAGGCCUGGGUUUGAUCCCUGGUCCGGCAGUGGGUUAAAGAAUCUGCAGUUGCCAGAGCUACAGCUCGGGUAAAAGCUGUGGCUUGGACUCAAUCUCUGGCCCAGGAACUUCCAUAUGCCUCAGGUACGACCUUAAAAAAAAAAAAAAAAAAAAAAAUUAAAUUAAAAAAAAGACUUCAUCUUUUUCCCAGGAUAAAUGAGGAUUUAAUAAAUAUAAAUAGAGCAUAACAUAGACCUAUAAAGUUGUUUUUCCACUGACUAGAGUGGGUUUUUAUUUCUGAAUAAAUUUUAAAUGGUUAAGAAUCUCUCAGGUGAAGCUGAGUAGGAUAUAAUUCCAUCAUAACCACCAAUUAAUCGGUGUGUGUGCUUUGGGAAAAUGAUGCCAAAUGAAGAGGAAAUAGAUGAGUCUUCUUCACAUGGGGAAAGGAGCUAAACCUCACUGCUAAGUUUCAGGCCCAAAUCUCUGGCCAAGGAUUAAGCUUUGGUAUUUUGUGGACAAUAUUUGCUACUUCCUAAUUUUUACUCUACAUCUCAAACUCUCUAAUGUAGGAGACAAGGAUCCAAAUGUCUAAAGAUCUCUCAUUCUCUCUUCCUCUUUUUCUCCCUCUCUCUAAAAAUAAACCCAGAAGUAUCAACAGAAGGUGGUAGGCAAGUGUUCACACUUCUACAAAAAAUGAACAUUAAUUAAGUCAAGCCAAAAAAAAAAAAAAAAUCCCUAAUAUUUACAUUCCUCAAAAUUGCACUUGGUAGGUAUUUUUUCUUUUUUUUUUUUUCUCUCUACUUUUCUUUACAGAAUAAACAUUUUUUUUCUGUUUGAAUGCCUGAGAAAAUUAAGUGAGAUCUGGGAUGCAAGAAAAUGAAUGUGUGUUAUUUUCCCCUUUACCUCUAUGAAGGCAGUAUAAUACUGGUAACCCAAAUAUCUAGACACUGGGAUCCCUGUGUUAAUUCACUCCUAAAAUAUCCCAGUAUUAGUGCCAUACCAAAUGCAUUUGUUCUGACCAGGAAGAAGCUCAGAGCAGUCAAAACUAUGAUGAAAAACCAUGAAAAAGGAAGAGGAGGAAGUGCUUUCAUCUUAAAAAGAGCACCUCAAUGUGCAAAAAAAAAACCCUGAAGCCUAUCAGCCCAACCACAUGCCAACCUGCAGUUGGUGAGAUCAGAGAACUUCCUCCUACUGUUUAAAUCUAUUCCUAACUACCCUACUUAAAGGAAGAAAACAGAAAAAUAUAAAUUGGUGUGUGUGUGUGUAGAAACAUACAUUUUUUUAAUGCGUAUUUACUGAUUUUCUACUCUAAGCAAAGCACUGCUAGGCAGAGUUACCUUGAGAGGUAACUCUGUGGCAGAGGUUUCCUUCUAGGAAAGCCAUUAGAUGGAACAAUGGGCCAAUAUUCCCGCCCAUCUCCCAGCCCUGCAGGCUGUAACCUGAAGCAGAUAGAGCCUUCCCUAAGGGUUAGAGAAUCCUCUGCACUUCAUCCACUUCAGGGUUGCAAUCUAGUCUCUGCCCUUCCACCCUCUAACCCUUAGAGCCUUCCCUAAGGGUUAGAGAAUCCUCUGCACUUCAUCCACUUCAGGGUUGCAAUCUAGUCUCUGCCCUUCCACCCUCUCCCCAGGACACCCGUCCACUCAGAGUUCUGUAGCAUCUCCUAUAUAAACCACCUGUGACUGCUCAAGCUCAGGCUCAAGCUCAAGCUCUCUUCUUUGCUGCUAGAAUAGCCUUUCCCUUCCCACCCCCGAACCCUGCACUUCACCUCCCAAAGGAGUCUCCCCCUGUUCCCCUCACACUGCCUCCCACAGCAACUGGACCUUGCUCCUGCCCAUCAGCCCAGGAGACACUGUCUUUGUGGCCGUGCUGUGUUUUCCAUCAUUCUCCCUAGCUCCACUGAGAGCCCCAGGAGGCAAGAGGGCUGUGUCUUUAUUUUCCGUGCCCUCAGAGCCAAGGGCAGAAAUACUCAAGAACUCUUAGGCUUGAAAUAAAUAGAAUUCUAAAAGACAAUCUGUGCUGAGUGUCUUCAGAGGGACCACCAAGGAUCUGUACAGGUCCAGUGGAAGGAGAGAGAGGAAAGCACCUGUGAAGGUACAGGAAGGAUUCCUUCCACUGGCCUUGAGAACUAGCAGAGCCAAGAAAGAGAUCACCAGAUUCCAAAACCUCAUAAAGGCACAGGGGGUAAAUGUUCCUACAAGUGCCAACAGAAACCCUUAGCUAAAUAAACAGCAAAGUGAGAUUAACAAAACAAAAAUAAACCUUUUCAAAAACAAAUAGUGUGUGAGCUACAGCUUUAAGCUUAUUAUUUUUAAAGGUUUUUGUUUGUUUGUUUUUUAGGGCCACACCCACAGCAUAAGGAAGUUCCCAGCUCGAAUCGGAGCCUCAGCUGCCAGCCUACACCACAGCCACAGCCAGGCAGGAUUCAGUUGCGUCUGCGACCUACAUCACAGCUCAGAGCAACACCAGAUCCUUAACCCACUGAGCGUGGCCAGGGAUAGAACCCAAGUCCUCAGGGACACUAGUCGGGUUUGUUACCGCUGAGCCACAACAGGAAAUCCAGGCUUGUAAACUUAUUUUUAAAGGGACAUAGGACAGAGGUUAUGAAUCAUUAGGAAUGUCUGCUCUAUGAAGCAACAACGUACUGGCUAAAUACAAGACCUUUGAAUUCACACAAUUUUACUUCAAAUUUUGGUUCUGCCAUUUGAUAGCUGUUAGAAUGGCUACCAUCAAAAAGACAAGAUAAACGCUGGUGAGGACAUGGAGAAAAGGGAACUCUUGUGCAUUGCUGGUGGGAAUGUAAAAUGGUGCAGCCACUAUGGAAAACAGUAUAGAGGUUCCUCAAAAAAAUUAAAAACAGAACUGCUGUAUGUUCCAGUUCUGGGAUUAUUUCCAAAGGGAAAGAAAACACGAACUUGAAAAGGUAUCUGCACCCCCAUGUUCAUGCAGCAAUAUUUACAAUAACCAAGGCAUGGAAACAUCUAUUGACAGAUGAUGGAUAAAGGAUAUUUAUCCAUUGUGUCAUACACACACACAUGUACACACACCCACAUACAUCCACACAAUGGAAUAUUAUUCAGCCAUUAAAAACGAGGAAAUGCUGCCAUUUGCUACAACACAGAUAGACCUUGAGGGCAUUAUGCUAAGUGAAAUAAGUCAGAGAAAGAAAAAUACCAUACGAUCUCACUUACAUGCGGAAUCUAAAAAAUUUUUAAUACACUCUCCUUCAAAACAUUGAGGAGGUGGUGGGAAGUAGUGCGGAACCAAGAGCGGUGACACUUGCUUAAAGUGCACUUCACUGGCUGUUUCACUACAGAGUCUGAAUGUUGCUUUUGUUGAAUUCCCAACAGAGGCAAGCCAUAAGCUCAACUGGGACAUGGACCCAGGGUGGUCCCCUAUCCUUCAUAUUAAGUGCUCUUAAGUGCUCUUCACCCAAAUUCCACAUGCCUUCACGCUGUCUCAGAUUCCUUCUGUCUGCCAUAGAAUAAAAUAAUUUGGACAAUUUGUUCAUAUUAAAGUGUUAGUAACUCUUCUCUAAGAUGUUAGAAGUAAGAAGAAAGAUGUUCCUACUCAGAGUUGAGGUAGAAGAGAGGGUAACAAUUAAACAAAGGGAUUACUUUCUUAUGGUGGAAUUUCAGACAAUGUGGCAGACAGAAGAUAGAAGGAAAGAUCUUACUAUCUCAGGGUGACCUGUGGUUUUCCCAAAUACAAAACUUGUUGCAACUACCUGUGCUGCUCAUGCACAAAACCUCCUGGCUGCCAGGAGGAUGUGCCUCUGAGAUCCGUAACUGAGGGAGGGUAAUUGCCUGCUGGCCGAGUUGAAAUGAAUCCACUCCUACAUUGGCACCAAGGCCAUGCUACACACAGGCUGGACAACAGGGCAGGCAGUCCUGUGAAACCCAGGAUGCUUUCCAUGGGAAGUUUUGGCUUGAGCUCCCCCCAUCAGCCUGGCUGAACCUUUCUUCAACUUGUGCCACCAUCUGAGACUCUUUCUACCCAACCUUUUUUUCUUCUUGUCUCCUCCCCCAGAGCGCAGACUUGUAUCACCGUCUGGUAGCUCAUCCAGCCUCUUCCAAUUUCCUCCCGUCUUCCACAGGGCACAUUCCCCAUUGUAUUCCUUGCACGUCCAACCUUCUCUUGACAUCUGCUUCUUGGAGGAGCCAAACUAACAUAUCUAUUUAAUCCCUAGGUCCUGCAAACCUGAUGGAGCAAAUGUCUCUAGGGUCCACAUCACAUCCCUCAGCCCACCUGUGAGCUCACAGUAUCCCACCUGCAAAAAGAGCCAAGGUUUCCACUUUAACUCAGAGCCUCCCCCAACACCAUAAGGACCUCUGACCCUGAAUGUAAGUACCAACCUGACAGGCAGGGGUGGUUACCUCCCCAGGGGAAGGUAACCAAGUCCUUGCCCCAGGUUCUACUUUCAGGGAAAUACAAACCAAAACACCUGAGAUGUGAGUUAGAGCAAAGCAGUCAUGUUACAAAACUCUUCUUUGAGAAAAUAAUGCUGAGUGUCCAUAUGGAGUCCGCUACUUUAAAAUAUUCUGUAUUUAACUGUCCCAUACCCAUAGAAACAGUCCCUCCCCAAAGGGUGUGGUAGCCAGCCCCCAAGAUGGCCCCGACUGAUGGUCACCUCCUGAUAAUCAUGCCAUUGUGCAGUCCCUCCUCCUGAGUAAGAGUAGAAUAAAGGAGAAGCAACAACGUGUGACUUCCAAGUCUAGGCCGUACACGUCACUGCAGUUCCACCUUGGUCUCCUGGAUCACUCACUCAAGGGGAAGGUGGCAGUCAUGUUGUGAGGACACUCAGGCGAUCCCAUGGAGAGGCUCAUGUAAAGAUGCACUGAGGUCUCCUGCCAACAGCCCGUGCCAACUUGCCAGACAUGUGAGUGGAAGUGGACUCUCCAGCGCAGUUGGGCCUUUGGAUGACCUUAGCCUCAGCAGACAUCUGACUCCAACUUCAUGAGAAGUCUUGAGCCAGAAUCACCCAGCUAAGCUGCUCCUGAACUCCAGACCUUCAGAAAUGGUGAACAUAAAUGAUGAUUCUCUUUUAAGCUAUGUGUUGGGGUGAUUUGUGUUCUAGUGAUACAUAAAUUAAAAGGGAUAUUCUGAGUGUCCUCACAACUUUUCAUACAGAAGCUCAUUAAUACUCACCACAAUAUUAUGAGGUAAAGUGCUUUUAAGUAGCCCCAUACUGGAAAGAAAGAAGGAAGGAAGGGAGACAGUAGGAAGGAAGUGGGGAGGGAGGAAGAAAAAAAGAAAACAAGCCACUGAGAAAUUAGCCAGGGCCACUCACUAAGAAGUAGAUGAGCAGGGGUGGAAACUAAGCUGUCUGGUUCGAAAGUCUGUGCUCUUAGCCACCACACUGCCUUGCCUGGGUGUGGGAGUUGCCUUAAGAAGAAAAUAUUUGUGUUUCUUAGCUUAUUCUGAGUAAUACUUUGUACUCAAAAAAACUCCCUCUCAGUCUUGGCAUUUACACAUUGUACUUUUUUAGAAGCUGACUCCAGUUCAGGACAUGAUUUUUGACUUGGAGUAAACAUUACUUUCUUCCAGAAAACACAUUUCUAAUCCUAUAAAAUGUCAUUAGGAAAAAAUAUUCUGUGAUCAAAGCAUCACUUCACCACCAAACUAUAGACUCUGCAAAGCAAGGCAUACACCUCUUCUCCCAUCAGCAAUGUCCUUACUGGAUAUAUGGGAUAUU